AAGUGACUGAGGGGGGGAUAUAUUAUCAUGUGGCCUAAUUGCAACUGUGGGACUGUCUUUGAACUCUGGAACCAGGGAGAUGAGAACCCGUAGUUGGUUGGUCUAUCUUGUAGUUGAGAGAUGGUGAACUCUGGGCAAAAGUAUUGUUUUGUGGGGGGGCUCAUAAGACAAAACAGGGAACAGAAGCUGGACCACUCUCCAUGACUCUACUAGAACCCAGCAAAACAAAGGGACUAGGGGCACAAGGAAGACCCCUGGGUGCAGUUGUUUGUUAGUGUCCUCAUGAUAAGUGCAGUUGGCAGAGGCAGUGUGGCAGCGUGUUGACAGCAGAGACCUCAUGGAGAGAGAAGAUGCUUUACCAGAUGGUGACUUGUGCCUCAUAGAAGAGGUUGUGACUCCUGGGGCCCUGUCAUUUGACAUGUAGGGGCCUAUGGUCGUAGCUUACAAUAUUAUGAGAAAUGUAACAUCACUACAAUAGUUAAGUGCAUGGAUUUUGGAACCAGACUAUCUGGAUUUGAGUCAUAAUGUGGCCUGGGUUACUGGACCUCUCUGAGCCUUAUUUUGCUCCUCUGUAAAUUAAAGAUGAUAAUACAUUUAUUUCAGAAGGCAAUGAAUAUUCCAGGAUUUAGUAUACAUAAAACAUAUAGAACAAUGUCUAACACAUAAGAACUGUAUACUUAUUGAAGAUUUUUUUUUUUUUUCCCUUUCUGAUUGAUGGCAUCUGAAACAAACUUCUUACAUGGAUAUACUGGGAUAGAACUCACUUUCCCAACUGUGGUUCCUGUUGCAUCCUGGAAAAUUAUAUUAAAAUUUCUUUCUGAUGUUAAGGCAAUUUGUUUUCUUGGAACUUCUCCACAUUGGUUCCAAUUUUCUCUGAAACGUUCCAAAAUAAAU
Molecule: long non-coding RNA, 894 nt
Filed under: Marmota monax (woodchuck)
Lineage: Eukaryota; Metazoa; Chordata; Mammalia; Rodentia; Sciuridae
Source: RNAcentral